Molecule: ribosomal RNA, 253 nt
Filed under: uncultured bacterium
Lineage: Bacteria
Description: partial 16S ribosomal RNA
Rfam family: Bacterial small subunit ribosomal RNA
Source: RNAcentral
UACGAAGGGUGCUAGCGUUGUUCGGAUUUACUGGGCGUAAAGGGCACGCAGGCGGCCAAACAAGUCAGAGGUGAAAUCCCAGGGCUCAACCCUGGAACUGCCUUUGAAACUGUUUGGCUAGAGACCGAGAGAGGAUAGUGGAAUUCCUGGUGUAGCGGUGAAAUGCGCAGAUAUCAGGAGGAACACCAAUGGCGAAGGCAGCUCGCUGGAACGGUACUGACGCUGAGGCGCGAAAGCGUGGGGAGCAAACAGG